Cryptotermes secundus is the source of this 1647-nucleotide long non-coding RNA. RefSeq lists it as uncharacterized. The transcript is spliced from 3 exons. The record is from RefSeq and is a predicted model, not a curated record. NCBI's taxonomy places the organism in Eukaryota, Metazoa, Arthropoda, Insecta, Blattodea, Kalotermitidae.
CGACAAGUGGCGAAAGCAGACGUAACAGCGUAGUCUUGAAUAAAGACUACAUAUCCAGUAACAGAGUCAAACAGUACGGCAAGGAAGAAACAUUUUUCUGCGUCAGGGUCUUUGGAUCGCUUCCGAAUUACGUUAGGGAUUACCAAAUUCAUGGACCGGAGACCUCGAGAAGUCGCUACUCCCUCAGAUGGCCAGAUUGCGGAAUAAGAUAUAUGAAUGAGCAGCUUGGCAGUGGUUCCUGCGCAGAAAGUAGAAGACAGUUCUCCAGUCCUUCAUCUGAACUUGCUUUCCACAACCGGGGCUUCAAUGGGAGGACCGGCGGACCGCAAAUGUACAAUACUGCAUUACAGAAAACAAGAGUAUGAAGACUUCUUCAGAUCUGCUACCCUUCACAAAGGAAACGCUUCUUAUUCUCUUUAAGUAAACAGAGAAUGAAGAUUUGUGAGAUUUUAAGUCGGCAAGUGAAUUUUAACGAUUUGUUCAUGUUCGGACACAGACCAUAAGCAUUUGGAACACGAUAUAAUGGAACUUCAUUAACUGGAAUCAGUGUAGUGCUCCGGUAUUUGUGGCUGGCUCAUCGGACUGCACCGCGGUAGGAAAAUAUUCAACAAUAUGGCGACCAGUGAAGUGUCCAGUCACUGCUGUCUAGGACUUGUUACUGUUCUCAUGCCCUCCACUGAGUAAGAUCAUGCCUCUUCCAACUUCUUGGCCAUCUACUUAAUGGUUUUCCUAUGUACUGUUUGCUUUUGCUUCUUACUAGGAAUAUCUGGCACAUAAAAAGAAGUUGGCUGUCAAAAUUUAAGGGGAAGAAAUAUCAACGUAGUUAAUUUUGGUGGAUGAAAUGCGGAGAGAAAGUUGAAAACUGCGCAAAUUUCGUAGUUCCGAAACCCCUUUGGAAUACGCGACAUAUUUCAGGCGUUUGUUGGGAAUGAAUAGGUAGUGGAAAAAGCGUGAUAUCGAUUCUGUGUGCCUUAUAUGAAAGUAUUAUGUACGUAUUCUUGUACUUAUCGAUACUUUCUUAAGUGCGUAGAUUGUGUAAGAUCGAAUAAUGAAGUGACUGGUAAUUUUCUUUUUCGCUGGCUGUACAGCCCCCUUGGUCCCUGGUCUCUGGUUUUCAGUUUCAUGAUCAUUUUACAGGCGGUAGGACUCCUUAGGCGAGUGAUCAGCUCGCAGCAAGGCCUCUAUAUAAAAACAGGAAAACACACAGAAUAAACACAUAAACAUGCCAAACACCCAUGCCUUUUGUGGGAUUCGAACCCACAACCCGGUUUCCUAGGAUCGAAGAGAGUAUAUGCCUCAGACCGCUCGGCUACCAUGACCGGCGACUAAUAAUUACAAAUUGAAAAUAAUGGAAAGUAAAUUUGUUGUGGCAAUGUAGAAUUUUGAGAGGAAAUGUGGAACAAAGGUAAUAGAACAACUACCUCCAUGAUUAGAUACGAAUUUGGGUCAGACAGAAUGCAAACUAAAGUGCCAGUAUCUCAUAUGUUGAUUUCGGUUAAAACAUAAUUUUUUAUUCAAUUAAAUAUUUGAAAUGUACUGUUAUGUACCUUUCCAGAUAAUUUGUUUUGUGUGUGUGAAGUUUCGUUCAUAAAGAUUAACUGAAUACAGAUGGGUGAAUUAAUGUUGGUUUCUGGAAGGAGGAAGAAA